GCUGGGUGCAAUGGCGCACGCCUGUAAUCUCAGCAGCUUGGGAGGCUGAGGCAGGAGGAUCAUGAGUUCAAUGCCGGCCUCAGCAAAAGCAAGGCACUAAGCAACUCAGUGAGACCCUGUCUCUA
RNAcentral lists this small RNA (125 nucleotides) under Marmota monax (woodchuck). The record is from RNAcentral. Lineage: Eukaryota; Metazoa; Chordata; Mammalia; Rodentia; Sciuridae.